Struthio camelus australis is the source of this 987-nucleotide non-coding RNA. The record is from RefSeq and is a predicted model, not a curated record. Lineage: Eukaryota; Metazoa; Chordata; Aves; Struthioniformes; Struthionidae.
GUGGUUCUCUUGAGGCAUCCAGCAAGCUAAUCUAUAGGAAUUUAGAAGAAAGGGAGCAGGAUAAGAUGAGCGCCUACCGGCCCUUUGGUGCACUGUAGGAUUUGGGAGCUGCUGCGCUUUCGGAGACCUCAGCCCCAGGGUGAUCCAGGUCACGCUGUUGGCUCACAACACACGGUGCCUGGAAAGAGCUGGGACCUCUUCAGCAGUACUGCACCUGAGAAGCGUUAGCCUACGGGCCAGAAAAAUCUUCAGACCCAAGCGCACAGAGGAAAACGAGCACCUUUCAUGGAGUUCUGUAUCUCCCAACCGUGGGUCAAAGAGGGAGCAGUGAGAGGAGCAGCCCACGCUGAUGAUCGUCCUCGGAGUGACCCAGCCCAUGGUGAGAACCCGCUGUGGGAAACCCUGACUCCUGAGCUGGUGCUUUGCACAAGCAAAGCCGGUGGCAGAGGGUGCAUUCCAGGUAUGCCCUGAUAUGUUUAAAGUGAAAUACUUAAACAAAUGCCUAAGCUCUGGUCUACUAAAGUCAGUGGAUUAUUUAGAGGUUAAGAGAACAGAAGCAGGCAUUUUGAGUUGCUCUCUAAUCCACUGCUUUGUCCCAAGGUAAGUUAAUUAUACCUGUAUCAUUCUUGAGAGAGAUCAGUUGUAUAAACCGUGUUUACAGAACUUGAAGCUAACAUUUGAUUCCCUCUGACCAACAGAGAAGAAUGCAUGUUCCCAGUCCCGUGACAGGAGGAGCACUACACAGGUCAAAAGCUAGCCCAGAUGAUUUUGCCAAAACCAAAAGAAAUUGGAUAGAAAAUCUGGAAAUAAAUCAAGAUUGGAAACAGUAAAAGAGAUGUGAACGGUACACAGUGUCCUUUAAGAUAUCCUUGAAUCGACUAAAAGCUGGGACAUUUUCCUCUGCAAUUCAGGUAUUCACACGUGUCAUGGUCUUUGAUUUAAACAAGAGUCUGAAAGCUAAGCACAGGAUUUGUGUUCAGUACUGUU